Molecule: ribosomal RNA, 433 nt
Filed under: uncultured bacterium
Lineage: Bacteria
Description: bacterial SSU rRNA
Rfam family: Bacterial small subunit ribosomal RNA
Source: RNAcentral
AACGAACGCUGGCGGCAGGCCUAACACAUGCAAGUCGAGCGCACUCUUCGGAGUGAGCGGCGGACGGGUUAGUAACGCGUGGGAAUAUGCCCUUCACUACGGAAUAGCCUCGGGAAACUGAGAGUAAUACCGUAUACGCCCUUUGGGGAAAGAUUUAUCGGUGAAGGAUUAGCCCGCGUCUGAUUAGAUAGUUGGUGGGGUAACGGCCUACCAAGUCGACGAUCAGUAGCUGGUUUGAGAGGAUGAUCAGCAACACUGGGACUGAGACACGGCCCAGACUCCUACGGGAGGCAGCAGUGGGGAAUCUUAGACAAUGGGCGCAAGCCUGAUCUAGCCAUGCCGCGUGAGUGACGAAGGCCUUAGGGUCGUAAAGCUCUUUCGCCAGGGAUGAUAAUGACAGUACCUGGUAAAGAAACCCCGGCUAAACUCCGUG